Molecule: ribosomal RNA, 253 nt
Filed under: uncultured bacterium
Lineage: Bacteria
Description: partial 16S ribosomal RNA
Rfam family: Bacterial small subunit ribosomal RNA
Source: RNAcentral
UACGGAGGGUGCGAGCGUUGUCCGGAAUCACUGGGCGUAAAGGGCGCGUAGGCGGCUCAUGAAGGCUGUGGUGAAAGUCCGGGGCUCAACCUCGGAUCGGCCGUGGCGACUCGUGGGCUGGAGCACUGUAGAGGCGGGUGGAAUUCCGGGUGUAGCGGUGGAAUGCGUAGAGAUCCGGAAGAACACCAGUGGCGAAGGCGGCCUGCUGGGCAGUGGCUGACGCUGAGGCGCGACAGCGUGGGGAGCAAACAGG